UCAACAGUUCUUUUUAGAACCACAAACAUAUUUAAUGAAGGUUAC
Molecule: non-coding RNA, 45 nt
Organism: Octopus bimaculoides (California two-spot octopus)
Lineage: Eukaryota; Metazoa; Mollusca; Cephalopoda; Octopoda; Octopodidae
Source: Rfam